This 253-nucleotide ribosomal RNA is filed under the name uncultured bacterium. RNAcentral's name for it is "partial 16S ribosomal RNA". It matches the Rfam family "Bacterial small subunit ribosomal RNA", at positions 524 to 776 of the family's 1533-position model. The record is from RNAcentral.
UACGGGGGGGGCAAGCGUUGUUCGGAAUUACUGGGCGUAAAGCGCGCGCAGGCGGCUUCUCAAGUCAGGGGUGAAAGCCCAGAGCUCAACUCUGGAACUGCCUUUGAAACUGUGAAGCUUGAGUACGGGAGAGGUGAGUGGAAUUCCCAGUGUAGAGGUGAAAUUCGUAGAUAUUGGGAAGAACACCAGUGGCGAAGGCGGCUCACUGGCCCGAUACUGACGCUGAGGCACGAAAGCGUGGGGAGCAAACAGG